CAUGAACGGGAACAGGUAACCUUGUGUUGCAUGUCUCGACGCUUCAAAUGUCCGUCCGAUCCCAAACGGAAUUUGGGGGCGUCACACUCCCAAUCCUGUAUCACCCUACCGAAAUGAAUAUUCCAAACAAUUCGUCCCUCCAUCACCUCCAUAGCAUCCUUCACUGAAAUAUUCUUUGCACUCGCCAGUUGGAAGAGAGAUGGAUACACAUCUUUUAAGGCCCGACAAUCACACCACACAUCGCUCCAAAAUUUAAUCCUGGAUCCUGUACCCACCUGAAACUUAACAAAACGGUUAAACACCUCCCAGCCUCUUCCAAUGUUUUUCCACAACCCGACUCCAUGAGCCCCCUUUACUUCUCUCGUGCUCCACUCUCCCCAUAAGCCGCCAUACUUUUUUUCUAUAACCAUUUUCCAUAGGGCGUCUGGUUCUCUGGGGUAUCUCCAUAACCAUUUGCCUAAUAGUGCCCGAUUAAACACCCUUAGGUUUCUAACACCCAAACCUCCCCCCUGGAUUGACUUACAUACCUGUUUCCACUUGACCAAGUGAAACUUGAACUCAUCUCCCAAGCCUCCCCACAGAAAAUCUCGUUGAAGCUUCUCAAUACGGACUGCUACACUUGCUGGAAUUGGAAAAAGAGAUAAGAAAUAUGCAGGUAGAUUAGAUAAUGUGCUUUUUAUCAAGGUGAUCCUACCACCUUUAGACAAGUACAUUCUUUUCCACCCUGCCAGUCGCCGCUCAAUUUUCUCAAACACCAUAUCCCAUAUAGAAGUAGCCCUUGAAGCACUCCCCAAAGGCAGUCCCAGAUAGGUCAUAGGAAGAGAAGCAACCUUACAACCCAGCGUUCGUGCCAAUAGCCGGGUGUUUGGAACCGACCCAAUUGGCACCAAUUCUGAUUUAUCCAGAUUCACCUUCAACCCAGAGACAGCCUCAAAACAGAACAGUACAACCUUUAGUGCUUGAAUCUGCCUAUAUUCAGCUUCACACAUGAUCAGUGUAUCAUCUGCAAAUAAUAAGUGGGAAAUAUCAAUGAUGCCCCUGCUUGGGGUUCCAAUCGGGAAACCUGCAAUAACACCAUUCACCACCAGUGCCGAUAUCAUCCUGCUUAGCGCCUCCAUGACCAUGACAAACAGCAAAGGAGAUAAUGGAUCCCCUUGUCUCAAACCACGUGAACUCUGAAAAAAUCCCACUGAAGUUCCGUUCAAUAGUACCGAAAAUUUUGCCGAAGAAAUACACCAACAAAUCCAGGCCUUCCACCGCUCCCCAAAACCACACCUCCUUAAUAAGUGUAAAAGGAAAUCCCAGUUAACAUGAUCAUACGCCUUCUCCAUAUCAAGUUUGCACAUGAUUCCUGUUUUCCUGGCGUUUAGUCGACUGUCGAGGCAUUCAUUGGCAAUUAGCACUGCAUCUAGGAUCUGUCUUCCUUUAACAAAAGCAUUUUGGGGUUGAGUAACAAUCUUACCCAUCACCUCACUUAGUCUAUUCGCAAGUACCUUGGAUAUUAUCUUAUACACCCCACUCACUAGACUGAUAGGCCUAAAAUCCUUAAUCUCCGUCGCUCCCACCUUCUUAGGUAUCAAAGCUAAGAAAGUGGCAUUAAGGCUUUUUUCGAAUCUUCCCACCCUGAAAAACUCCUGGAAGACUUUCAUUAGAUCUUCCUUAAUAACACCCCAACAGUCUUGGAAGAAACCCAUAGAGAAUCCAUCCGGUCCUGGUGCCUUGUCCUUAGCCAUUUUCCUCACAACUUCAUAGAUCUCUCUCUCUUCAAAUUCCCUUUCUAAAUGUGCUGCGUCAUUCAGACCAAUGGUAUUAAAAUCCAGCCCAUUCAGAGGAGGCCGUCAUCCCGCCUGUUCCUUUAGCAAGUUCUCAUAAUAUCCCACAACAUGAUUGUGGAUUUCCUGUUCAUCUCUGCACUCCAUUCCAUCCACCUUCAACAUCUCAAUGUUGUUAUUUCUCCUAUGUGAGUUUGCUAUUCUGUGGAAAAAGCCCGUGCACCGAUCCCCUUCCCUCAACCAUAAUGCUCUUGAUUUUUGACGCCACAACACCUCCUCUAAUAGGAUCAACUUUUCAAUUUCUGCACCCAGCUCAAGCUUUCUAUCUUUUUCUGUCUGUGUGAGGUGUUGUACCUCUUGAAGUCUCUCAAUCGCCUGAAGUUCCGCCAGCUUUGCUUUUUUGGUUUCCCUUACAUUGCCAAACAAUUCCAAGUUCCAAGUUUGAAUAUCCUUUUUAAGAGCUUUCAAUUUUGCCACAAAAAUGAAACUCGGGGUUCCUUGAAACUGAUAGGAGGACCACCAUUGUUUAACCCUAUCCAUGAAACCUUCUGAUUUUAGCCACAUAUUCUCAAAUUUAAACGGCCGAUGACCCUUCCGAAUACCUCCACAGUCUAUCAUAAUUGGCCAAUGGUCCGAGCCAAUACGGGCUAGCCACUUCUACCAAACCUCCGGAAAAUGACUUUCCCAUUCCGGUGAAAUGAGAAAACGAUCCAAUCGGGACCAGGACUGAAUAUUCGACCAGGUAGCGGUACCCCCAGCUAUAGGCAGGUCUACCAAAUUCAAGUCGAAAAUGCACUCUAAGAAAGCCUCCAUUGCUGGUCGUAAUCUUCUGCUUCCCGAUGCUUCACUUGGGAAUCUCACGACAUUGAAAUCUCCCCCUAUACACCAGGGGAGAUCCCACACACUGUGAAUCCCGGCAAGUUCAUCCCAUAGCAAGUUUUUUUCAGAAUCUGAAUUGGCACCAUAAACACCUGCAAAAGCCCAACGAUAGUUAUCGGCUAUACUCUGAAACGAGCAUGCCACCAUAUAAUUACCAAUAAAUUCCUCCACCCUUUCUACCACACGUCUAUCCCACAAAACCACAAUUCCUCCUGAAGCUCCAUUAGAGGCCAAAUAAGCCCAAUCAACAUGUACACCACUCCAUAAACUUCGCACUAUUUCUCUAUCCAUACAUUUCAAUUUAGUUUCUUACAAACACACAAUAUCCGCUUUCCAUUCCCUAAUCAUAUUUCUAAUCCGCAGGCGCUUAUCCCCCUCAUUAAGCCCACGAACGUUCCAUGACACAAUUUUUGGUUUCAUGGAGGAACAUUCUGCCCCUUCCCUUUUACCCUACCCCUACUAGCACUGCCCUCCAUGUUCAUCGACCAAGUCAAUCUUUGGAGUUUCCGAUGCUUUUUUGAUUUUCCUUUAUCCUUUUGUUUGUGCCCUGCUUCAAUGGCUGUAAACAACGCCAUAAACUGCUCCUCAUACCCAUCACACUCAAGCCCCACUAUUUUUUGAAUUUCUUUCACUUUAUGAUAAACCCAAUCUGUUACAUUCGGUUGGGAUGGGAGGCAGAAUUUUCUUACUUUUAAAAGAAUUUUCUUACAAGCCAGGUUAUAAAAGAUUCCAUAAAACGAAAACAACCAAACUUUAUUAAAUAAAAGAGAUUUAUAGGUAGCAUAUAAAAAAAAAAUUCAAGUCUUGUGUUAAUUCAGAAAAUCACAUAUUAAAACCUAAAUUAAAACUGUUCUAAUAGUCUGUAAAAAAAAAAAAAAAAAAAAAAAAACUGUUCUAAUAGUCUAGGCCCUUUUUUUAUAAGUUAUAAAAGAGCAUUUUCAAUCACUUUUAGUUCAUUUAUAUAGUUACAUAUACAUUUUUUUUCCCUUUAAUCCACCAAUGGCCAGAAGUUGAUCCUCCUCCGUGAUGGGCAUACCCAGGUGCGCUGCUGGUGAGCCAUUCCAGGCAUUACAGUCCACCCUUUAUCUCUUGUACCGUAAAUAAUCAUUGUUAUGGCCCCUUUUCGAAAAACAUUUAUCUCAUGCAUUCAUUCAUUUUCUGUCCAAUCUUGAUCUUAUCCUUUCCUUAUUCUAAUUUCCUUUUCCUUUCUCCUUUUCCUUUCAUUUUUCCAUCUUUCAUUCCUUUAAUAUAUAAUGAUACAAUAAGUAUAUGAUGGCAAGUAAAAUCAUACAAUUCAUUCCAUUGCAUUCAUCAUGUUAUAUAAUAAUGAUAGGGUACAUUUACUUAUUACUUAUCCAAAAAUAAAAAAUAAUGAUAGGUUACAUGUAACAUGGGUUUCCAAUGAACAGUCUAUGCAUAGUAUAUCUUUCAAAACAUGUACAUAUCAUAUAGCUUCGCUAAAAGAGCAUUUUUGUUUAAAAAAUUAGCUAGAAGGGUAUGAUCAUAGUUGCUUACCACUUAGUUUUGUGCAAACAAUCAACAAUCACAUCAACAAGCAUCUAUUUAAAUCACAUAUAUAUCAUAAUAUCAAUUUCUAUCUAAACAUUGAUCCUUUAAAGGGGUGGCAGGCAAGAGGCCUUCUUGGGGUGAGCUGCUGCUAGCAAGAAUUUUCUAGGGCUAGGGAUUCUAGGCCAUUUCUGAGUUUCUGGCAAAACUGCAACACCCCGCUCCCCAACAUUAAGAAAGACAUUUUUUUUUAGAAAAUCACAGGAGCCGGUGUGCUACUACUGAACCUGACUUAAAAAUAUAUUUGUUUUUUUAAGAAUCAAGGGAGUCGUUUUGUAUUAAAAUAUUGAAAUUAUAAAUGAGAGUGCGCAAAAGUAUUUAUUAAAAUUUCUCAAAGUCCAUGCCAUAAAAAUCAUAACUUAAAAUCUUUGUACAUGAUCUAGGCCAUUACACACCUCCUUGGACUAAGUCCCGUCCUGCAGCUCUACCUUCAUAAAUAUUCUGACCUAUGGUGGUUUAAAAACAUAAAGCAACUAAAAUUAGUCGAUGACUCUGUAAGAAACCCAUCAUCACGUUAAAAUGCUUAUACAUAAGGUUUUUCAUAAAAUAUUUCAUGCUGAGAACUUAAAAUAUGACUGUCCAUACUUAUGCUAUGACAUGCAUGAUUUAUCUUGGCAUAUCUGACUUAUCUUAUCGUACUUGUCCACACACUUAACCUUAUGUGCAAGGCUGUGCACUGGCCCCACAUCCCGCCCACAAGGGGAGCUGCUAAUAGUAUUCUAGUGGACCAAGCUUAGCUCCGUGACUUGCACAUCCACCCAUAUAUCAUAUUGGUACCAUGUAUCUAAAUGGUCAUUUGAUUAACUGUUCUAAGCUUAUCUUACACUUGAUUUUAUGAAAACUUACGUAUCUUAUGCAACAUAAGAUGCAUAAUACAUACAUAACUAUAAUAUGCGAAAUGAAAUAUGAUGAAUAACGUGCUUGCAAAUAUCAUGACAUGCGUGGUACAUAAAUAUCGGCUUUCAAAGAAUGGGCUUUAAUAAUAAUACAUAUAACUAGCUAACGUAUGUUAAUCCUAAUUUAUGAUCAAGGUACUUACCCUGUAGUGUUGCUUCAUAAAAUUUCCGACACAAAAUUAAUCACGAUGUGAUGUAGGGACGAUAGUGGUUGUGACUAGGAGGAAGGAAGAGACAAUGGUGGCCUUACCGUGUCUCAUGGUGGGGGAGAUGAGGCUACGGCAUGCUGAAGGUAAAAAGAGAGCUAAAAACAACAAAGCCUAGGCUUGAAGAGAUUGGUGCAUGUACAGUUUGCACGGGACUCUAUUUAUAGGAUUUUAUAAUAUGCGAGUGAUGGUAUGGGUUGGGUUUAGGAAUUUUAAGGUGAGGACUCGUCAACCUUCCAAAGCAAAGAAUUGCUUAACAUUAUUUUUUGCUUGAUUUUAUUGAAGAACCCCAAUCUGAAAAGCACAAGAAUUAAGACUUCUACUCCUUAUAAAUAACAAACUAGCAUAAAGAUAAUGUUUGAAACUCUGUAUGAAACUAAACCAACAAUGGAGAAGUAUCUCCUUAUUCAAAUAUUAAAAGGCUUCUAAUUAAACCACAAUUCCAUGUCCAGGCAUUCCAUGAUAACCAUGCAGCUGAAAUAUCACGCCUAUAGAUAUAACAACUCAGAGUCUCAGACCGAGCUUUCCUCCAAACUGGAUUGUAGGAAAUUUCUCCCAACCCAUUUAAAAAAUUCUCACGUGCCCCUUGAACAUAUGAAAUCAUACUUUUUUAAUGAACGGGCACAUGAUGUCUUUUUUAGUUAGACUUUUAGAAAAUCAUGUGUGUCUCACAUGCUUAAUGAACAUUUGCCAUAUUUAUAGAUGGGUUGGAGGAAAGUUUCUCCAACCUAGGUUAUAGGAAAACUUGUACUAACAGUCCGGGACCCUUUAAGGAUCCUUGCACUCAAGGUCCUAAUUAUUCUCAACCUCAUGAACGUUUCAGACGCUUCUGAGGUUGUCGUUUUGAGUGCUCCUUUGUCUCUCCAAUUUUCCUUUGCUGCUUUCUUUUACCACUGCACUCCCUUGUGCUUUGUCGUACAUGAGGGGGUUUGGUUGAAUAGAGUUGGACUGAAGCCGUUUGUGAUGCUUUGAGCUGCUUCUCUAUUGUUGGGGCUUCAUCGCAAUAGAAUUGAUUUUCUUUUUGCACGAGCAGGGCCAAAUAUGGUGGUUGGCCAUCCACAUGGUGGCCGUUUGACUUGAAAUACUGUGGUGUAGUACGUUCUUGUAACACUCCUUCUCAUGGAUUAGGAACGUUAUGUACUUUCGCGACUUACUCAGUACGAGACUUCACAUAAUAAAUUGCCUCAUAUUAUUGAAAUCAUAAACCAUAACGUAUGAAGUCUUAAAAACUGAAAGUAAUCUCAUAAGACGAAAUUUAGAGAUAAUCCCAUUUGUAAAGACACUUGCUAAGUUUGGAAUUUCUGUAAAACGGGUCAUGUUUGGAUACCAAGAAUGUUUGGAAAUAUUUUUUUUAUAAGAAAAAAAUUUAUUUAUUUUUUGAUAAGAAGUGUUUUUGUUUGGAAGGUUUGGAAAUAUUUGAUAAGUGUGAGAAUUUGUUUGAGAUUAGGUUUUGUGAAAUGAGCGAGAAAAAGUGGAAUAAAAAUAUUUUUUAAAAUAAGUAUUGUAUUGAAGUUUGUGAAAGUGGAUACAUAAAGUUAAAAAGUUGUUUGAAUAUAUUUUAUAAUAUUAUUUUUGUUUUGAAGUUUGUAAAAGUUGUAUUGAUUUUUGUGUUUGAGUAAUGAUUAGAUGAAAAGUUUAAAAUUUGAAUUAGAAAAGUAUUUUGUGUUUAAGUGAUGUUUGAGGAUGAAGUAAUGAGAAAUUUUGGAAAUUUAGUGAGCGCAAUUCUGAUCAUCUUCGUGCUUUAAGACCACUUCUACUGUAUUUUGAAGCUGUCUCGGGGUUAAGAGUUAAUUUAUCCAAAUCUGAAAUAGUUCCUAUGGGUUCCAUUCAGAAUAUUUCAAACCUGGCCAAUAUAUUGGGUUGUAGAAUUUCUUCGCUUCCUAUGAGAUAUCUCGGUCUUCGAUUGGGGCUUCACAUAAAUCAGUUACUAUUGGGAUUGGGUGAUAGAGAAAAUUGAAAAGAGGUUAGCUGGUUGGAAAAUGAUUUACUUGUAUGAAGGGGGAAGAUUAAUAACUUUGAUAAAAAGUACUUUCUAAUCUUCCUACUUAUUUUAUAUCUCUUUUCUCCUUGCUGGCAAGGAUAGAAAGAAGAAUUGAGAGUUUAUAUCAGAAUUUUUUGUGGGGUGGUAAAGGAGAAGAAAAAAAGUUUCAUUUGGUUAGUUGGAAAAAAGGUUUGUCAACCGAUUAAUUGUGGUGGGUUGGGGAUAAAAAACUUGAGAUUGUUUAAUAGAGAACUACUUGGGAAAUGGCUUUGGAGAUAUCACUUGGAGAGAAAUGCCUUUCCCCUUUUUAACAUCUCCUUUCAAUUUGUACAUAUUUCCCCUUCCUCUGUUUUGGUUUCUAGCGUUAUCCUAAUUACAAUUAAAACCCCAUUUUAUACCACAAACAUUGUCUUGGAUUGCUUGCUCCUAAUUGUUAUCACCUUUCUCCGGGUUCAAACUCAGAUUAGGAUCUCCCUUAGAAGUCCCUUUGCCUACUUCAAUAUCAUGACAGUUGGAAGGGCUUGCUAGACCCUUAUCCUUGUUCAAUUUGUCAGUUUUCUCUGUUUGAUUUCCCACCUACCCUGUUAGAUUUUGAGCAUUCACUCCGUUGUCCUUUGGUCUCUGGUUUGACCUUAGGUUCUCUUUUCCUUUGCCUUUUGAGGCAAUCCUACAAACACCAGGAGGUCUCCUUGGUGCCUACAUAAUGAGCAGGAAACCUGGACUCUUUUGUAUAUAUUGUCUGCUAGAAUCCUUUGGACUAUGCUAUAACUGCUACUUUUGAUGUAUUCACCACCAACGUCUUCAAACUCUAUGCUAGGGAUGGAUCUAGAAAUCGUCUGUCUAGAGAGAAAAAACUCACGUAUGAUGGCGAUGAAUUUAUUUUGGUAUUUUCCGUUUAACUUGAGUGAUUAGCCUGUGAGACCAAAAGAAAAACCAAGAUUUGAAGAUUGUUAAGAGUUUUGCUCAAUGUUUUUAAAUACUAAUUUUGUCCUGCACAUUGAUCCAACAUGAAUUAGAUGAUACAUUUUGAUCCUGGUUCGGUUUUUUAGUUGGGUAGAGACUUUGACAUACCCUCACUCACGCCUCUCCCCAUUCCAAGUGUGCAAUAGGAUCAAGAGAAAACCUUCUAGUUGGUACAUCUGAAGUAGUCCUGAGAACAGCAUCCAAUAAAACAAGGCCGCGUAGCACACUCAUUACAGAAGGAAUGAUAUCCACUGCACCCAAGCUCUCUCUCUUCGAAAAUGUCCAGUACAGAAGCUCAUCUCUUCUCUAUUGUCUCUCUCCAAAUCACACCGAAGAACGCGUCUCUUCUCACUCAUCAAAUACCCAUCGCAAAUCCUCCAACUCGCCUGUCUCAGAAAUCCUCUUGCUCGUCUCUCUCUCUCAUCGAUGCCAGCCAGCCCAAGAGUGGGCACCGAAGCUCGUCUCUCUCUCUCUCUCUCAUCGAAAACGUAUGUUUCAAAAGCUCAACUCUCCCUCUUUCUCGUCUGUCUCUCCCAAUCACACCGAAAAACUCGCCUCAUCUCUCAUCCAAUACCCAUCGACACCAGCCACCCCAAGAGUGGUGUGGAAAGAUGUUGACGGUGUUUUAACAUGUGAUCCUAACAUACUCACAAGCAGAACCAGUGCCAUAUUUGACAUUUGAAGAGGCUGCUGAACUUGCAUAUUUUGCCAACCAGGAAUCAUGAUCUUAUACCUUAUUACCCAGUCAAGUUGUGGAGUACAGCUUCAACGAAGGAACGACAGGAUACAUGAUGAACAUGUCAGGAAAGAACAAGCCAAAUUACAAUUACAAGCCAUAGAGAAGAAGUACAAGGGAACCAUGAUAGCGUUGUUCUUGUCGUUGUUUUUUAUUGUGAUUGUAAGUUUUAUGUAUCCGAGGAAAAAUGGCAUAUGUCAGUCAUUGCUGAGACUCAUGUAAUCAUUAAGUCAUUUGCUGUAAUGUUUAGAGCACUUUUUGCAAGUUUUAUGUAGACUUUGGGGUGGCAACAAUCUAAUUUAUACAACCUGACUUUUUUGUA
This is an RNA transcript of Carya illinoinensis, 9321 nucleotides long. RefSeq lists it as uncharacterized. The transcript is spliced from 2 exons. Lineage: Eukaryota; Viridiplantae; Streptophyta; Magnoliopsida; Fagales; Juglandaceae. The record is from RefSeq and is a predicted model, not a curated record.